GACGAACGCUGGCGGCGUGCUUAACACAUGCAAGUCGAACGGAAAGGCCCCCUUGUGGGGUACUCGAGUGGCGAACGGGUGAGUAACACGUGAGUAACCUACCCUUGACUUUGGGAUAACUUCAGGAAACUGGGGCUAAUACCGGAUAGGAGCUCCUGCUGCAUGGUGGGGGUUGGAAAGUUUCGGCGGUUGGGGAUGGACUCGCGGCUUAUCAGCUUGUUGGUGGGGUAGUGGCUCACCAAGGCUUUGACGGGUAGCCGGCCUGAGAGGGUGACCGGCCACAUUGGGACUGAGAUACGGCCCUGACUCCUACGGGAGGCAGCAGUGGGGAAUAUUGCACAAUGGGCGGAAGCCUGAUGCAGCAACGCCGCGUGCGGGAUGACGGCCUUCGGGUUGUAAACCGCUUUCGCCUGUGACGAAGCGUGAGUGACGGUAAUGGGUAAAGAAGCACCGGCUAACUACGUG
RNAcentral lists this ribosomal RNA (465 nucleotides) under uncultured bacterium. Its description in RNAcentral is "partial 16S ribosomal RNA". It matches the Rfam family "Bacterial small subunit ribosomal RNA", at positions 28 to 507 of the family's 1533-position model. The record is from RNAcentral.